This 394-nucleotide ribosomal RNA is filed under the name uncultured bacterium. RNAcentral's name for it is "bacterial SSU rRNA". It matches the Rfam family "Bacterial small subunit ribosomal RNA", at positions 28 to 416 of the family's 1533-position model. The record is from RNAcentral.
GACGAACGCUGGCGGCGCGCUUAACACAUGCAAGUCGAGCGAGAACCAUGGCUUCGGCCAUGGGGACAGCGGCGAACGGGUGAGUAACACGUGGGCAAUCUGCCCUCGGCACUGGGAUAGCCCGGGGAAACCCGGAUUAAUACCGGAUAGCCUCUCGAGCUCACGGGCUCGUGAGAAAAGAUGGCUUCGGCUUUCGGCUGAGGAGGAGCCUGCGGCGGAUUAGCNGUUGGCGGGGUAACGGCCCACCAAGGCGACGAUCUGUAGCUGGUCUGAGAGGACGAUCAGCCACACUGGGACUGAGACACGGCCCAGACUCCUACGGGAGGCAGCAGUGGGGAAUCUUGCGCAAUGGGCGAAAGCCUGACGCAGCGACGCCGCGUGAGGGAAGAAGGCC